GACCUGCGGAAGGAUCAUUACUGUGAUUUUUUAACACCACACUGUGUGGGCGCACGAAACACAUAAACUAUAGUAUAACAGCAGUCAACAAAAGAUCUAAAAGAAUAAAACUUUCAACAACGGAUCUCUUGGUUCUCGCAUCGAUGAAGAGCGCAGCGAAAUGCGAUACCUAGUGUGAAUUGCAGCCAUCGUGAAUCAUCGAGUUCUUGAACGCACAUUGCGCCCGUCGGUAUUCCGGCGGGCAUGCCUGUCUGAGCGUCGUUUCCUUCUUGCGGUUUUUGCAAAAAUUAGUUAUAUUUUUUUUGUGGAGACGGCAGAGCUGGCCGUGCCACUGGCCCGGCCGAAAAGAAACGUUGCGGACGAAGCGAACUACAUCGGGACGCUUUGGCCGCCGAGCGAAAAACACCAUUGAGCUCGACCUCAGAUCAGGUAGGAGUACCCGCUGAACUUAAGCAUAUCAAUA
RNAcentral lists this ribosomal RNA (463 nucleotides) under Saccharomycetes sp. HZ25. RNAcentral's name for it is "eukaryotic LSU rRNA". The stretch from base 109 to 261 matches the Rfam family "5.8S ribosomal RNA". The record is from RNAcentral. Lineage: Eukaryota; Fungi; Ascomycota; Saccharomycetes.